Non-coding RNA from Schistosoma margrebowiei, 45 nucleotides. The record is from Rfam. Lineage: Eukaryota; Metazoa; Platyhelminthes; Trematoda; Strigeidida; Schistosomatidae.
AUCCCGCUGACGAGUCUCGAGUAGGACGAAAUGCGCGUCCUGAAU